GACGAACGCUGGCGGCGUGCUUAACACAUGCAAGUCGAACGGAAAGGCCCUGCUUUUGUGGGGUGCUCGAGUGGCGAACGGGUGAGUAACACGUGAGUAACCUGCCCUUGACUUUGGGAUAACUUCAGGAAACUGGGGCUAAUACCGGAUAGGAGCUCCUGCUGCAUGGUGGGGGUUGGAAAGUUUCGGCGGUUGGGGAUGGACUCGCGGCUUAUCAGCUUGUUGGUGGGGUAGUGGCUUACCAAGGCUUUGACGGGUAGCCGGCCUGAGAGGGUGACCGGCCACAUUGGGACUGGGAUACGGCCCAGACUCCUACGGGAGGCAGCAGUGGGGAAUAUUGCACAAUGGGCGGAAGCCGGAUGCAGCAACGCCGCGUGCGGGAUGACGGCCUUCGGGUGGUAAACCGCUUUCGCCUGUGACGAAGCGUGAGUGACGGUAAUGGGGAAAGAAGCACCGGCUAACUACGG
Molecule: ribosomal RNA, 467 nt
Filed under: uncultured bacterium
Lineage: Bacteria
Description: partial 16S ribosomal RNA
Rfam family: Bacterial small subunit ribosomal RNA
Source: RNAcentral